CUCGGCCAAGAUGCUGCUGCCAGCCGAAGCCCAUCCCCAGCUCCAACUCGUGCCGCUGCAGCAGAGAAAAGAUUCAGACAAGAUGAUGUGGCUUGUUGAAGACGAAGGGCAGUAGGAGGUGAAGACGGAUGCUGAAACUCACCUUCCCAGGUUGAUGACUCCUCUGGGGAUCCCUGUUGGCGUAUUAAAGGCAGGUAGCAACUUUUCUCCCAGCUCCACCGCUUUAUUU
This is a non-coding RNA of Poecilia reticulata (guppy), 229 nucleotides long. The record is from RefSeq and is a predicted model, not a curated record. Lineage: Eukaryota; Metazoa; Chordata; Actinopteri; Cyprinodontiformes; Poeciliidae.